Molecule: non-coding RNA, 72 nt
Organism: Halocaridina rubra (Hawaiian volcano shrimp)
Lineage: Eukaryota; Metazoa; Arthropoda; Malacostraca; Decapoda; Atyidae
Source: the annotation of a GenBank genome assembly
GACCGCCGUGGCUGAGUGGUAACGUUCUCGACUUUUUUCGUCAGGUCGUGGGUUCGAAGCCCACUACGGUCU